Molecule: ribosomal RNA, 378 nt
Filed under: Prymnesiophyceae sp.
Lineage: Eukaryota; Haptophyta
Description: partial small subunit ribosomal RNA
Rfam family: Eukaryotic small subunit ribosomal RNA
Source: RNAcentral
AUUCCAGCUCCAAUAGCGUAUAUUAAAGUUGUUGCAGUUAAAAAGCUCGUAGUUGGAUUUCUGACAGGGGGCCGAACACCACUGUAGUGAGUGUUUUGGUACCUGUCAUCCUUCUGUUAACCCUAGCGUCAUUCAUUUGUCGUUGGGCGGACCAGAUACUUUACCUUGAGAAAAUUAGAGUGUUUCAGGCAGGCCUAGCCGGAAUACAUUAGCAUGGAAUAAUGGAAUAGGACUAUAGUCUCGUCGUUGGUUACGUGGACUGCAGUAAUGAUUAACAGGGACAGUCAGGGGCACUCGUAUUCCGCCGAGAGAGGUGAAAUUCUCAGACCAGCGGAAGACGAACCACUGCGAAAGCAUAUGCCAGGGAUGUUUUCAUUA